Long non-coding RNA from Mercenaria mercenaria, 1375 nucleotides. RefSeq lists it as uncharacterized. The transcript has 3 exons. NCBI's taxonomy places the organism in Eukaryota, Metazoa, Mollusca, Bivalvia, Venerida, Veneridae. The record is from RefSeq and is a predicted model, not a curated record.
GAGCCGAACUUUUACUUUGAUUGGGAACUUUUAUUAUCAUGUUGGAGGUUAAAGUAUGGAAGACUGGCACAGACCUCAGUAAGCCAUCAAGUGUUACCAUCAGAUCUAGAAGAACAGAGCCAAUGUCUGCUGAAGCUGGAGUAGAUUACAUCCCUGUGGUGCGGAUAUUAGACUUUGCACCAGGUGAGAUGACAAAGACUUUGAGUGUCACUAUCCUAGAUGAUCUUGGUCACCCAGUCCUUGAGGGAACAGAAAAAUUUCAGCUUCAUCUAAGGAUGUCAGUUGGAGGGUCCAUGGGUGAACCAACUGUAGCCACAGUCUGAUUGUGAAAGAGAGACAGAAUGCAGGGUGAAAAUUAUCAGUGACAGACAACAUGAGAAGGAGGUCAUAUGACUUUCUGUUGUGAAACUCUUGAACUGCUUGAAGGAUUUUAAAGAAACUUAAAACAAAUGUUCACCACAUUGGGACUAUGUGCAGAGAGCAUGUUUUGGAUGACUCACUUCAAGGUCAAGGUCACAGGGGUCAAAAGGUCAUACCUUUGGCGUUUAUUGCUCUGCAUUGUGGUGCUCUUUUCUCAUAGUGGAGGGAAGAAACAACAAAAAUAUUUCAAAAUUGGGUUGAUAUAUUGGAGAUAUCUAUAGAAUGAUUUUCUAAAGUGUAAACAGACUAUUUUAAUGAAUUAGAUAUUGGCUGUAGUGUCAGAUCAGGAUUGAAAAAAUGUGUAAAAUUAUCACCAGUUUUCAUUCAAAAUGGACCCAAAAUGACCCAAUAAGAUUUCAUGUUUGGCCCCAUAAGAUAUUUAAGACUUGUUAUGAGUGACUUUGGAUGCCAACAUCUUUCUUCAGAAGGUUUUAAAUUAAAUGGUAUAAAAUAAGCUUGAACAUAUGGGCUGCGCCAUGGGAAUACCAACAUAGUGGCAAGUGGCUUUGCGAUCAGCAUGGAUCCAGACCAGCCUGCGCAUCCACGCAGUGUGGUCAGGAUCCAUGCUGUUCACUUUUAAAGCCUAUUGCCAUUAGAGAAACUGUUAGCAAACAGCGUGGAUCCUGACCAGACUGCGCGGAGGCGCAGGCUGGUCUGGAUCCACGCUGGUGGCAAAGUCACUAUGUUGGUUUUCUCAUAGCGCGGCUCAUAUAUGUUUGCAUAUUUAAUUUGCUACAUUUAAGGUCCAGUGAUAAAGUUUGACAGGAGUCAGUAUACAGUAAAUGAGCCGAUUAUCCCUGGUGACUUCAACAUUUUACGUGUGCCAGUGAUACGUCUAGGUGACCCAUCAGGAAUUUCCGUGGUCAGGGUGUCAACCAAGAGCGGAAGUGCAAGUGCUGGCCGAGAUUUCAAUGCAUAUUCCAGAUGUAGGUUCAAAAUGUAUUAAAAUUUAUAC